CCGAAUUUUUGGCUCUCGUUUUCUCUUUGGUUAUCUAGCUGUAUGAGUGUACAUGACAUUAUAAAGCUAGGUUACCAAAGACAAAAACAGAUGCCAGUGAU
Saccoglossus kowalevskii is the source of this 101-nucleotide non-coding RNA. RefSeq annotates it as microRNA 79. Lineage: Eukaryota; Metazoa; Hemichordata; Enteropneusta; Harrimaniidae. The record is from RefSeq and is marked provisional.